This 270-nucleotide ribosomal RNA is filed under the name Triticum aestivum (bread wheat). RNAcentral's name for it is "partial small subunit ribosomal RNA". The record is from RNAcentral. Lineage: Eukaryota; Viridiplantae; Streptophyta; Magnoliopsida; Poales; Poaceae.
AUGCAUCACAUCACCACGUCUACUUGGGUGACAAGGGCUUCGGUCAGAGAAUGGUGCAAUGCUAACCUUCAGAUCCGUCUCGGCUCGCCCAAGGCGCUUGCCUCCCUCACGAUGAUCAUCUCUUGGGAGGUUUGGUCGGAGCGCAAUGCUAGAGUCUUCCGCAACUCGGCGGCCCCUUUCUUGGUCAUCAUCAACAAAAUCAAACAGGAGGUGUUGCUUUGAGCUUUGGCUGGAGCGAAACAUUUGGAUGUUGUAAUGCCUUCAGAGUAG